UCCAGGCCACGGCCAGGCAGGAGGAGGCGGCCUGUACCUCCGCGCCCUGGGCUGACUUUCAGGCCUGGGACAAGCCCCAGGGGCCCCCGCUGCCUUGUGCCAGCCGGACCAGGAGCACAGCGGCACCGGGUCAAGGGAGGCCACACGCGUGGCCAGCGUCCCUCUGCCAGGUUCGCAGGAAGGAGCCCUAUACCUGGGCUGCGCGCCUGGAGGCCGACUGACAUCUCAGACACGGCAGGUGCCUGCUGCGCGCUGUUAUCCGUGUCACGGUCCAGCCUGAGGUCUUCUGCGACGAUGAGGGGUUCGAGUCCCGGUGGAUGAUGUUGUAUAGCAGGGAGCCAGAGGGCAACCCUGCAGCGCCAGAACUCUGCAGGCCCGGCCAGGUCCUGGGACUCCUGUGAUCAGUGGAAGACUUCUGCAGGCCGGCCCCGUGAUCGCCACUUGGUCCUGCUGCACAUCUCAGGAAGACGUCCCCUGGCCCCUCAGGGUUCCCAUCACCCCCUCUGAAAUCAGAGAGCCCUUCUCAGGGCAGCAAACCUUAGGCUGUCCCAGCAGCCCCUGGGGAUGGAGAGGGUGGAUAUUCACUUCAUCUCUCUUCAAGGACACUGAUGAUAACCUUGACAACUCCUCUC
This is a long non-coding RNA of Canis lupus familiaris (dog), 632 nucleotides long. RefSeq lists it as uncharacterized. NCBI's taxonomy places the organism in Eukaryota, Metazoa, Chordata, Mammalia, Carnivora, Canidae. The record is from RefSeq and is a predicted model, not a curated record. The transcript is spliced from 3 exons.